Molecule: ribosomal RNA, 257 nt
Filed under: uncultured bacterium
Lineage: Bacteria
Description: partial 16S ribosomal RNA
Rfam family: Bacterial small subunit ribosomal RNA
Source: RNAcentral
GACAGAGGGUGCAAACGUUGUUCGGAAUUACUGGGCGUAAAGCGCGUGUAGGCGGCUAAGUAAGUCGGGCGUGAAAUCCCACGGCUCAACUGUGGGCUUGCAUUCGAUACGGGCAGGCUAGAGUUCGGUAGGGGAGACUGGAAUUCCUGGUGUAGCGGUGAAAUGCGUUGAUAUGUGUCGGAACACCAAUGGCGAAAGCAGUCUUCUGGACGCAAACUGACGCUGAGAUACGAAAAGCCAAGGUAGCCAAACAAGGG